Molecule: ribosomal RNA, 394 nt
Filed under: Oenococcus oeni
Lineage: Bacteria; Bacillati; Bacillota; Bacilli; Lactobacillales; Lactobacillaceae
Description: bacterial LSU rRNA
Rfam family: Bacterial large subunit ribosomal RNA
Source: RNAcentral
GUCGGCUCAUCGCAUCCUGGGGCUGUAGUCGGUCCCAAGGGUUGGGCUGUUCGCCCAUUAAAGCGGUACGCGAGCUGGGUUCAGAACGUCGUGAGACAGUUCGGUCCCUAUCCGUCGUGGGCGCAGGAAAUUUGAGAGGAUCUGUCCUUAGUACGAGAGGACCGGGAUGGACAUACCUCUGGUGUACCAGUUGUUCUGCCAAGAGCACCGCUGGGUAGCUACGUAUGGAUUAGAUAAUCGCUGAAAGCAUCUAAGUGAGAAACUAACCUCGAGAUGAGAUUUCCCAUUCGUCAGAAGUAAGACCCCUGAGAGACGAUCAGGUAGAUAGGCUAGAAGUGGAAGUGUAGUGAUGCAUGGAGCGGACUAGUACUAAUAGGUCGAGGACUUAACCAAG